Non-coding RNA from Caenorhabditis elegans, 21 nucleotides. The record is from Ensembl. Lineage: Eukaryota; Metazoa; Nematoda; Chromadorea; Rhabditida; Rhabditidae.
UCGUAUUCGUUAAUAGUUCCG